RNAcentral lists this long non-coding RNA (284 nucleotides) under Ananas comosus (pineapple). RNAcentral's name for it is "long non-coding RNA (ACOM_LNC039795)". Lineage: Eukaryota; Viridiplantae; Streptophyta; Magnoliopsida; Poales; Bromeliaceae. The record is from RNAcentral.
AAACUUUAGUUUUGACUCUCAAAAAUAAAAACCAAGUCUUCUAAACAUUUUUCAAUACUUCACGAAAUUCGCCAACUUAUAAAAUCCUUAACAAUCUCCUCCUUUGGCGAUUUCGUGACAAAAUACAAAAAGAAUUUACAAUGCUUAUCCCCAAACAAAAAUAAGAAGGUUAUUGCAAUCACCAAACAACAACCUUCUGCAUGAUCGAUCCAAUAAAAAUAAAAUAACAAAAUUAUAUUUUUCUCAUCCUAAUACAAACUCUAUGACUUAGGACACGACAUAGA